AACGAACGCUGGCGGCAUGCCUAACACAUGCAAGUCGAACGAGACCUUCGGGUCUAGUGGCGCACGGGUGCGUAACGCGUGGGAACCUGCCCUUAGGUUCGGAAUAACUCCCCGAAAGGGGUGCUAAUACCGGAUAAUGUCUUCGGACCAAAGAUUUAUCGCCUUUGGAUGGGCCCGCGUUGGAUUAGCCAGUUGGUAGGGUAAAAGCCUACCAAGGCGACGAUCCAUAGCUGGUCUGAGAGGAUGAUCAGCCACACUGGGACUGAGACACGGCCCAGACUCCUACGGGAGGCAGCAGUAGGGAAUAUUGGACGAUGGGCGAAAGCCUGAUCUAGCAAUGCCGCGUGAGUGGUGAAGGCCUUAGGGUUGUAAAGCUCUUUUACCCGGGAUGAUAAUGACAGUACCGGGAGAAUAAGCUCCGGCUAACUCCGUG
RNAcentral lists this ribosomal RNA (433 nucleotides) under uncultured bacterium. RNAcentral describes it as "partial 16S ribosomal RNA". It matches the Rfam family "Bacterial small subunit ribosomal RNA", at positions 29 to 507 of the family's 1533-position model. The record is from RNAcentral.